This 1032-nucleotide ribosomal RNA is filed under the name Gambierdiscus sp. ribotype 2. RNAcentral's name for it is "partial large subunit ribosomal RNA". It matches the Rfam family "Eukaryotic large subunit ribosomal RNA", at positions 17 to 944 of the family's 3401-position model. Lineage: Eukaryota; Dinophyceae; Gonyaulacales; Pyrocystaceae. The record is from RNAcentral.
AUGAAAACCCGCUGAAUUUAAGCAUAUAAGUAGGCGGUGGAACUGAAACAAACUUGGAUUCCUCAAGUAGUUGCGAAUGAAAGAGAAAGGGGCUCAGCAUGAUAUACAUGGGCUCUGCCUUUGACAUGAAGACUUUGAUGGUGUGCCAAUGGGAGGGGGUUGGAGAGUGAAUCUUGUCUUGGAAGAGGGGUGUGCAAGUGGUAGCGAGAGUGAUAAACCUUUGGCACUUGAUAUGUCUUCCUGCACGGUGCCUUGUUGAGAGUCAUGCUUCUUGAAAGUGGAGUGCAAAGUGGGUGGUAGUCCUCACGCAAAGCCAGAUACCGCACUGGGGCCGACAGUUUAAAAGUACCGUGAGGGAAGUGUGAAAAGGACUUUGGAAAGAGAAUUAGAGGAGCUUGAGUUUGCUGAACUGCAAGCACUCAGGGUGGGAGAGUUUGGAAAGGUUUCAAUAUGUGACUUGGGAUCAUGGUUGCCCUUUCGUGGUUGCCCUUUCGUGCAAAGGUUCUGGGGCACAUGCUGGGAUGACAUGUGUGUGCCUCUCCUUGGGUGUCAGCCCAAAGUGGCCGCAGUCAAUGGUAGCUGGCAGUGUUGGGACAUCUUUGUUCUGGUGGCUGUUGCUGCCCCGUUUCUGAACGUGUUUGGGUAAUGCUGAGUCAGGGGGGGGGGGGGGGAGUGAUUGUGCCUCACAGUGCAUGGAGGUAUGUUCUGCCCGGCAGUGCAUCUUCUGUCACCUCCACCUGUGUGACCCGUCUUGAAACACGGACCAAGGAGUCUAUCAACUCUGCAAGGCAAAAAAUGUGUUUUGUACAACUCAUUGUCAAUGAAAGUGGAGUUCCAGAUCUGUGCAUGAGUGUUCUACCAAUCAAGAGGUUGAGGUUUGAGUCUGAGCAUGGCUGCUAGGACCCGAAAGAUGGUGAACUAUGCCUGACAAGGGUCAAGGCAGGGGAAACUCUGAUGGAGGUCCGCAGCGUUACUGACGUGCAAAUCGUUCGUCGCAUUUGGGUAUAGGGGCGAAAGACUAAUCGAACCUUC